RNAcentral lists this unclassified non-coding RNA (204 nucleotides) under Hevea brasiliensis (rubber tree). The record is from RNAcentral. Lineage: Eukaryota; Viridiplantae; Streptophyta; Magnoliopsida; Malpighiales; Euphorbiaceae.
GUUUUUUUGACUCAGUUGCUGAUCCUGCUUCUCUAUGGCUGCAGGGAAUCACUUGUUGAAUUAUAUAAGCCACUUCAAGACCCUCUUAUUAAGCGUUGUGUAGAGAUUGUAAAUUUCAGUGAAAAUGACCAUGCCAAAAGCAGUGUAUUAUCAAAGGCUAAAGGUAUUUGGUCUAAAGCUUUUCCGAAACCCAGAAGAUCUUGG